UGGGGAAUCUUGCGCAAUGGGCGAAAGCCUGACGCAGCGACGCCGCGUGAGUGAUGAAGGCCUUCGGGUUGUAAAGCUCUGUGGGGAGAGACGAAUAAGUGCAAGCUAAUACCUUGCAUGAUGACGGUAUCUCCUUAGCAAGCACCGGCUAACUCUGUGCCAGCAGCCGCGGUAAGACAGAGGGUGCAAACGUUGUUCGGAAUUACUGGGCGUAAAGCGAGUGUAGGCGGUUUCCUAAGUCAGGUGUGAAAGCCCCGGGCUCAACCCGGGAAGGGCACCUGAAACUGGGAGGCUAGAGUACUGGCGAGGUUGGUGGAAUUCUCGGUGUAGAGGUGAAAUUCGUAGAUAUCGAGAGGAACACCGGUGGCGAAGGCGGCCAACUGGACAGAUACUGACGCUGAGACUCGAAAGCG
This 413-nucleotide ribosomal RNA is filed under the name uncultured bacterium. RNAcentral's name for it is "bacterial SSU rRNA". It matches the Rfam family "Bacterial small subunit ribosomal RNA", at positions 355 to 761 of the family's 1533-position model. The record is from RNAcentral.